RNAcentral lists this ribosomal RNA (253 nucleotides) under uncultured bacterium. RNAcentral's name for it is "partial 16S ribosomal RNA". It matches the Rfam family "Bacterial small subunit ribosomal RNA", at positions 524 to 776 of the family's 1533-position model. The record is from RNAcentral.
UACGGAGGGUGCGAGCGUUGUCCGGAUUUAUUGGGUUUAAAGGGUGCGUAGGCUGGAAGGUCAGUCAGCGGUGAAAAGCUAUCGCUUAACGAUAGUCUUGCCGCAGAUACUUCCUUUCUUGGAUGAGGAGGAGGCCACUGGAACGGAUGGUGUAGCGGUGAAAUGCAUAGAUAUCAUCCAGAACACCGAUUGCGAAGGCAGGUGGCUGUACCUUAAUCGACGCUGAUGCACGAAAGCAUGGGGAGCAAACAGG